Molecule: long non-coding RNA, 981 nt
Organism: Rhineura floridana
Lineage: Eukaryota; Metazoa; Chordata; Lepidosauria; Squamata; Rhineuridae
Exons: 3
Source: RefSeq, a predicted model, not a curated record
CCUUUUGCCCUCUGCUGGAAGCAAUGUCAGAUACCAGCAUCAGACCCUCGCCAGUCAUGCCAGAUCCUGUUGAGUCUUGAAACCCAGAUUGCCUUGUUGGAUUAUUAAACCUUUGAUUUGUGACAGACCUUGCCUUGGAAAACAAACUGGUAUGUGACCUGAGACCUCCCCCAACUCCAACCCUUGCUUAUCCACAUUCUCUUCAAGCCUUGUCUGCUUUAUAACCAAGCCCUGCUUAGGCAGCUGCCAGCUAAUUGUUUUACAGUGCUAUUAAUCACCUCAGUGCAGCCAGCAGAGACUGACAUAACCAAGCAUAUAGAAGAACAAACCUUGCCAAAGCAGAGCCAGCAUGGCUGCUCCAAAGAACUCAUGGACAUCCAAUGAAGCUGAAUGCUGGAAGAUUCAGGACACAUAAAAGAAAGUACUUCUUCAUGCAACUCAUAGUUAAGACCUCACUUGGAGUAUUAUGUCCAGUCUGGGCAUCGCAAUUUAAGAAAGAUGUCAACAAACUAAUAUCAAUGAACUAAAAUAUGAGAAGGGUGACAAAGAUGCUGAGAGGUGUGGGGACCAGAUCCCAUGAAGACAGUUUGAAGGAAUUUGAUGUGCUUAGCCCGGAGGUGAGUUGAUUAGGAGCUGAUAUGAAAGCCAUUUUCCAGUAUUUAAAGGACUGUUUCAUAGAUGAUGGAGCCAAUCUGUUUCCUGUUGCUCCAGUUUCAAGCUAUAAGAAAGCGGAUUUUGACUAAACUUAUGAUGAACUUCCUGAUAGUAUCAGCUAUUAAAUGGUGGAACAAAAGACUGCCUCAGAAGGUGGAUUCUCCUUCAUCAGAGCUUUUAAAGCAAAGGCUGGAUGGCCACCUAUCAGUGAUGCUGUAGCAGUGGACUUUCUGCAUCAGCAGAGGGUUGGGCUGGAUGACCUUUGAGAUCUUUUCCAACUCUGUUGUUGUUGUUGUUAAUUAUUAUUUACCUGCCCUUCACCCUAAG